CUGUGAGGAAAUGUCGGGGUUGGGGAGAAGUAAUCUCGUACCAAGUUUUCAUGGCCCGUCUUACGAUCACGAUCGAUGUAAACACGACCGGGAAUAGAACCUCGAUGUGUCUUCGCUUUGCCUUUUCUCUCUGAAAUUUCUCCUUCCAUGGUUAAACAAUUUUCAUGCAGAACCUCUUGUUCAGCAGAGUCAAGUAAGAGAUGUUGAUGCCUUCUUCGAAAAAAUUGAAACAUUUGUGAUGUUAGAAGUAGGAGAAGAAUGCUAAAUUGAAAUGAUCGUUACACUUUUUGAUUUCUAGCAACAUCUAUUUUUAAAUUAAAAUAAUAGCAUUUUUUAAAUUCAAACAACGUUUUUUUAAAUAAAAACUAGUUACAACGGUCAAAACAUGUUUUAAUUGUUGGAACUUUCAAAUUUUAAAUUUUAAAUUUCAAAUUUUAAUAUUUAAGGAAUCAAUAUAAGGAAUUUGUUGGGUACACAGUGAAAAAAUUGAAUCCCUAUCUUGCAGAAUGACCCAAUAGUAUUGCAAGAUAGGGAUAGAGAUAAGGAAACUGUUGUAAAUGCUCUUAGUGGAUUGGAUCAAUGCUAUGCGCAGUACUGCAUAAAUUCUUGGGUUUUACUGAAAGGCACUACAACAAUACUGCAUACCAUUCCUCAGUUGCUGAGAUUCCCUUUGAAGUGAUGUUUGGCAAAGCACCUGGCCCUUUCUAUUGCCACUUACAUUCCAGAUACUACACAAUUAGAAGUUUUGGAUGUUUCCCUCCAAGAAAGAGAUACCAAACUGCAAAUCCUCAAAAGGACAUUGAACAUCACCCAAAUAAUAAAACCCUAACUUCAAUGUGUUUCUAUAGCUGAAAAGUUAACCACCAAGAGUUUGAGACAUAUAAAAUGAAUUGAAUAAAGAUUCAAAAAAAAACUCUGAACCGAGAAAAACACUAAAAGGCAUAACUCCUUAAAAUGUAUAGAAAAACAGCAAAUUAGUAAAUGAAAUUAAGUAUGUAGAACCUAAAAAACAAUGAAAAAUUACAACGGUUAUGUAAGAAAUUGGCAAAGUCUAACCCAAAAAUGGAUUACCUUGGCUACGUCAAGGGGGUUAACGAGUAUGGCAGAGAGAAAGGCGGCACCAGCAGCAGAAAAUGCUCUCUCCGGGACCCCUAAUUUUCCAGCAGACGUGGGAGGCGGAGAAUCAAAAUGAGAACGAGAAGCGACAAUUCCCUCUGACACCACCAUUGAUUCUGACAUUAGCGACACGCAGCGGCCGUCAAAUUCAACUCUCGAAGGUUGCUCUUCUGACUCCUCUCUGGUCAUCCACGAAUUUUGCAUUUGCUUUGAUUCUACUUCUACCAUAUUCUUUUGUUAUACCUCUCUUUCAGCCCAAAAUUUGAUCACCCUAAAAUUGCGCGUUUCCGAAUGUUAGCUUUGUUGCAUUCUCAAAUAAAAAAUCAUCAAAUAGACGAAAUUUUCAACAAAAAAUUUAAAAUUUUCCUCAAAUCGUAAAAUAGAGGGAUGAAGAAGAGUCUCUCUAAAUUAAUUUAGGGCUGAGGACUGCGGUUGGGAGACUAAAAAAAG
Molecule: long non-coding RNA, 1566 nt
Filed under: Panax ginseng (ginseng)
Lineage: Eukaryota; Viridiplantae; Streptophyta; Magnoliopsida; Apiales; Araliaceae
Description: long non-coding RNA (PGIN_LNC006655)
Source: RNAcentral